RNAcentral lists this ribosomal RNA (244 nucleotides) under uncultured bacterium. Its description in RNAcentral is "partial small subunit ribosomal RNA". It matches the Rfam family "Bacterial small subunit ribosomal RNA", at positions 26 to 285 of the family's 1533-position model. The record is from RNAcentral.
AGAAUCAACGCUGGCGGCGCGCCUAACACAUGCAAGUCGCACGAGAAAGGGCUUCGGCCCUGAGUAAAGUGGCGCACGGGUGAGUAACACGUGAAUAAUCUACCUCUGAGUGGGGAAUAACUGAGAGAAAUCUUAGCUAAUACCGCAUAAUACUUACGAGUCAAAGCAGCAAUGCGCUUGGAGAGGAGUUCGCGGCCGAUUAGUUAGUUGGCGGGGUAAUGGCCCACCAAGACGAUGAUCGGUA